RNAcentral lists this ribosomal RNA (450 nucleotides) under Chryseobacterium sp. LRC-BW19. RNAcentral's name for it is "bacterial SSU rRNA". It matches the Rfam family "Bacterial small subunit ribosomal RNA", at positions 1036 to 1483 of the family's 1533-position model. Lineage: Bacteria; Pseudomonadati; Bacteroidota; Flavobacteriia; Flavobacteriales; Weeksellaceae. The record is from RNAcentral.
AUGGUUGCAAUGGUUUGUCGUCAAGCUUCGUGCCGUGAGGUGUUAGGUUAAUUCCUGCAACGAGCGCCACUCCCUGUCUAUUAGUUGCCAUCAAUUCAGUUGGGGACCUCUAGUGAGACUGCCUACGCAAGUAGAGAGGGAAGGGUGGGGAUGACGUCAAAUCAUUCACGGCCCUUACGUCUUGGGCCACACACGUAAUACAAUGGGCCGGUACAGAGGGCAGCUACCAGGUGACUGGAUGCAAAUCUCGAAAGCCGGUCUCAGUUCGGAUUGGAGUCUGCAACUCGACUCUAUGAAGCUGGAAUCGCUAGUAAUCGCGCAUCAGCCAUGGCGCGGUGAAUACGUUCCCGGGCCUUGUACACACCGCCCGUCAAGCCAUGGAAGUUUGGGGUACCUGAAGUCGGUGACCGUAACAGGAGCUGCCUAGGGUAAAACAAGUAACUAGGGCUU